Molecule: ribosomal RNA, 471 nt
Filed under: uncultured Desulfuromonas sp.
Lineage: Bacteria; Pseudomonadati; Thermodesulfobacteriota; Desulfuromonadia; Desulfuromonadales; Desulfuromonadaceae
Description: bacterial SSU rRNA
Rfam family: Bacterial small subunit ribosomal RNA
Source: RNAcentral
GACGGGGCCCGCACAAGCGGUGGAGCAUGUGGUUUAAUUCGACGCAACGCGAAGGACCUUACCUGGGCUUGACAUCCCGAUCGUACCUGCUGGAAACAGCGGGGUCAGUUCGGCUGGAUCGGAGACAGGUGCUGCAUGGCUGUCGUCAGCUCGUGUCGUGAGAUGUUGGGUUAAGUCCCGCAACGAGCGCAACCCUUGUCCUUAGUUGCCAUCAUUUAGUUGGGCACUCUGGGGAGACUGCCGGUGAUAAACCGGAGGAAGGCGGGGAUGACGUCAAGUCCUCAUGGCCCUUACAUCCCGGGCUACACACGUGCUACAAUGGCAGGUACAGAGGGCUGCGAAGCCGCGAGGUGGAGCGAAUCCCAGAAAACCUGUCUCAGUCCGGAUUGAAGUCUGCAACUCGACUUCAUGAAGGCGGAAUCGCUAGUAACCGCGAAUCAGCAGGUCGCGGUGAAUACGUUCCCGGGCCUU